Molecule: ribosomal RNA, 483 nt
Filed under: uncultured Acidobacteriota bacterium
Lineage: Bacteria; Pseudomonadati; Acidobacteriota
Description: bacterial SSU rRNA
Rfam family: Bacterial small subunit ribosomal RNA
Source: RNAcentral
UUGAUCCUGGCUCAGAAUCAACGCUGGCGGCGUGCCUAACACAUGCAAGUCGAACGAGAAAGUGGAGCAAUCCAUGAGUAAAGUGGCGACCGGGUGAGUUACACGUGACUAACCUACCUCCGAGUGGGGAAUAACUCCGGGAAACCGGGUCUAAUACCGCAUAACAUCGCAAGAUCAAAGCAGCAAUGCGCUUGGAGAGUGGGUCGCGGCUGAUUAGCUAGUUGGUAGGGUAACGGCCUACCAAGGCGAUGAUCGGUAUCCGGCCUGAGAGGGCGCACGGACACACUGGAACUGAAACAUGGUCCAGACUCCUACGGGAGGCAGCAGUGGGGAAUUUUGCGCAAUGGGGUAAACCCUGACGCAGCAACGCCGCGUGGAGGAUGAAGCCCCUUGGGGCGUUAACUCCUUUCGACCAAGACGAUAAUGACGGUACUGGUGGAAGAAGCACCUGCUAACUCUGUGCCAGCAGCCGCGGUAAUAAAU